GAAAGUCAUAGGAAAAACCAAGAAGUCGGGCUUCUGUGUAGUCUAUUCUGUGGUUAGACUAUCAAUUACAUAUACUAUUAGCUGUAUAUACGGCCACAUACUGCCUAGCCUGUGACUGAUUAUGCAUAGGAUAAUUAAUAACAUUAUUGUAUACCUUACCAUUAAUAAAAAAACGACUUGAAAAUUCAUUUAAUUCCUGUAUAUGUUACUCUAUAUUCAUCUUGUUUUCUGACGAAAAUCUAUAUCAAUGGACGACUUGCGCUUUAGAAAAUUUUUUUAUCUGGGAAUAACAAAGGAUAUUUUCGGAAAGAAGUUAUCAAAAUUAGAAAAACUGCAAAGUUUGGUUGCGAAAUAUUGUAAAAUACGGAAAAUAUAGCCCUGCGAAGUUGGCAAAUUUGUAUACAUUUCUAUUACGUG
Non-coding RNA from Paramuricea clavata, 417 nucleotides. NCBI's taxonomy places the organism in Eukaryota, Metazoa, Cnidaria, Anthozoa, Malacalcyonacea, Plexauridae. The record is from the annotation of a GenBank genome assembly.